This 567-nucleotide ribosomal RNA is filed under the name Triticum aestivum (bread wheat). Its description in RNAcentral is "partial small subunit ribosomal RNA". The record is from RNAcentral. Lineage: Eukaryota; Viridiplantae; Streptophyta; Magnoliopsida; Poales; Poaceae.
AUGUGUGAUCAUGUCGUUGGCGCCACCACCACCUUCGCCCUCUGGCACAAGAUCCGUGACUAUUUUCUCGCCAAUCGCGCCGCCCGCUUCAUGAUUCUCAACCGCCAGUACCGCAACCUCAAGCAAGGUGAUCUGUCGGUCUCCGAAUGUGCUCGACGGAUGAAGCUCCUCGCCGACGGCCUCGCCGACAUCAACCACGCCAUCACCGAGGUGGAUCUCACCACUCAGUUUCUCCACGGCCUCGACAAGCGACUCGACACGAUCCGGGUCGUGCUUGGCAAUCAAGAUCUCCCCUUCGACAUUGUCCUCUGCCGCGUCGUCCUGGCUGAGGAGUCCCAGGAGCAGCGCGCGGCCGAGGAGAGUGCCUCCGCCUUCGCCGUGAUCGGCGGCGCCUCUGGUGCCGGCUCUAGCACCGGCGGCCGUGGCCCAAACGAUUGUGUGGAUCGCCCCUCUGCCGCCCCACCGCAUCCUCCUCAGGAUCCGAGGCAUGCACGCCCACUACCCCUCCGCCACGUCUACCCCGCCAUGCACAGCCGGCUGAACCCCCACGUAAUUCGCAUCAAAUGA